Molecule: transfer RNA, 83 nt
Filed under: Schistocephalus solidus
Lineage: Eukaryota; Metazoa; Platyhelminthes; Cestoda; Diphyllobothriidea; Diphyllobothriidae
Rfam family: tRNA
About the family: Transfer RNA (tRNA) molecules are approximately 80 nucleotides in length.
Source: Rfam by way of RNAcentral
GGCCUCGUAGCUCAUUUGGCUCGAGCGUUAGCUGAACUAAAGCCUUCUUCUUGAUUGCCUGGGUUCAAAUCCCACCGAGGCCG